UACGUAGGGUGCAAGCGUUGUCCGGAAUUAUUGGGCGUAAAGAGCUCGUAGGCGGUCUGUCGCGUCGGCUGUGAAAUCCCGAGGCUCAACCUCGGGUCUGCAGUCGAUACGGGCAAACUAGAGUAUUGCAGGGGAGACUGGAAUUCCUGGUGUAGCGGUGAAAUGCGCAGAUAUCAGGAGGAACACCGGGGGCGAAGGCGGGGCUCUGGGCCGAUACUGACGCUGAGACGCGAAAGCGUGGGGAGCGAACAGG
RNAcentral lists this ribosomal RNA (253 nucleotides) under uncultured bacterium. Its description in RNAcentral is "partial 16S ribosomal RNA". It matches the Rfam family "Bacterial small subunit ribosomal RNA", at positions 524 to 776 of the family's 1533-position model. The record is from RNAcentral.